AGUGAACGCUGGCGGCGUGCUUAACACAUGCAAGUCGAACGGAUGAAAUAAGCUUUGCUUAUUUCGUUAGUGGCGCACGGGUGAGUAAUGUAUAGCUAACCUGCCCUUUAGUGGGGGGACAACAGUUGGAAACGACUGCUAAUACCCCAUAUUCCUUCUUAUCAUAAGGUAAGUUGGGAAAGAUUUAUUGCUAAGGAUGGGGCUUUAUGGUAUCAGGCUAGUUGGUGGGGUAACGGCCUACCAAGGGCUAUGAUUGGUAGGGGAACUGAGAGGUCAAUCCCCCACACUGGCACUGAGAUAC
This 301-nucleotide ribosomal RNA is filed under the name uncultured bacterium. Its description in RNAcentral is "bacterial SSU rRNA". It matches the Rfam family "Bacterial small subunit ribosomal RNA", at positions 29 to 327 of the family's 1533-position model. The record is from RNAcentral.